GGCCCUUAUAUCCAGGGCUACACACGUGGUUACAAUGGUCGGUACAAAGAGCAGCCACUUGGUGACAAGGCGCUAAUCUCAAAAGCCGAUCUCAGUUCGGAUCGAAGUCUGCAACUCGACUUCGUGAAGUUGGAUUCGCUAGUAAUCGCGCAUCAGCCAUGGCGCGGUGAAUACGUUCCCGGGCCUU
RNAcentral lists this ribosomal RNA (187 nucleotides) under uncultured Marinilabiliaceae bacterium. Its description in RNAcentral is "partial 16S ribosomal RNA". It matches the Rfam family "Bacterial small subunit ribosomal RNA", at positions 1197 to 1382 of the family's 1533-position model. The record is from RNAcentral. Lineage: Bacteria; Pseudomonadati; Bacteroidota; Bacteroidia; Marinilabiliales; Marinilabiliaceae.